Molecule: long non-coding RNA, 232 nt
Organism: Mytilus trossulus (common blue mussel)
Lineage: Eukaryota; Metazoa; Mollusca; Bivalvia; Mytilida; Mytilidae
Exons: 2
Source: RefSeq, a predicted model, not a curated record
GAUUGAUCAAUUCUGAAAAAAUUUUGUCAUUAAUGACAGAAAAGGUUGAAGGAAUUGCAUAUCCUGGCCAAACACAAUCUGAAUGCGUAACUGCCUGUGGUACAGCUGUAGCUAUAACAGGACUUACAUUGGCUCGAUUAUGUCCAUUAGUUUGUCAUUCUGUUCUCAGUAAACUGAAAUAGACACCGGAAAGGAAAAAGAAGCAUUUUCUGAUUAAAACCAGUUACAGUUA